Unclassified non-coding RNA from Callithrix jacchus (white-tufted-ear marmoset), 302 nucleotides. It matches the Rfam family "Metazoan signal recognition particle RNA". From Rfam's summary of the family: The signal recognition particle (SRP) is a universally conserved ribonucleoprotein. It is involved in the co-translational targeting of proteins to membranes. NCBI's taxonomy places the organism in Eukaryota, Metazoa, Chordata, Mammalia, Primates, Cebidae. The record is from Ensembl.
GCCAGCCGUGUUAGUGCAUGCCUGUAGUCCCAGCUACUCGGGAGAGGCUGAGGUGGGAGGAACGCUUGAGCCCAGGAGUUCUGGGCUGUAGUGUGCUAUGCCAAUCGGAUGUCCGCACUAAGUUCGGCAUCAAUAUGGUGACCUCCUGGGAGUGGGGGACCACCAGGUUGCCUAAGGAGGGGUAAACCUGCCCAGGUUGGAAAUGGAGCAGGUCAGAACUCCUGUGCUGAUCAGUAGUGGGAUCACACAUGUGAAUAGCCACUGCACUCCAGCCUGGGCAACUCAGCAAGACCUCGUCUCUU